Non-coding RNA from Nicotiana tabacum (common tobacco), 169 nucleotides. NCBI's taxonomy places the organism in Eukaryota, Viridiplantae, Streptophyta, Magnoliopsida, Solanales, Solanaceae. The record is from RefSeq and is a predicted model, not a curated record.
GAACCCAAGUUUGUGGUCAGUUAUCUUCACAACCUCAAAUCAUCAAAGGAGUCAUUGCGUGAACAGUUGGAAAGAGCAAAGAAAAAGGAGUCUGCAUUUAUUGUGACAAUUGCCAAAAGAGAGCAGGAGAUAGUAGAGUUGAAGUCUGCAGUUCGGGACCUUAGAGUUC